GUAGUCCAUGCUGUAAACGAUGAUAACUAGAUGUUGGGAGGUUAAACCUGUCAGUAUCGAAGCUAACGCGAUAAGUUAUCCGCCUGGGGAGUACGACCGCAAGGUUAAAACUCAAAGGAAUUGACGGGGACCCGCACAAGCGGUGGAGCAUGUGGUUUAAUUCGAUGCAACGCGAAGAACCUUACCUACCCUUGACAUCCUUCGAAUCUUGCAGAGAUGCGAGAGUGCCGAAAGGAGCGAAGAGACAGGUGCUGCAUGGCUGUCGUCAGCUCGUGUCGUGAGAUGUUGGGUUAAGUCCCGUAACGAGCGCAACCCUUGUCCUUAGUUGCCAGCACGUAAAGGUGGGAACUCUAAGGAGACUGCCGGUGAUAAACCGGA
This 378-nucleotide ribosomal RNA is filed under the name uncultured bacterium. RNAcentral's name for it is "bacterial SSU rRNA". It matches the Rfam family "Bacterial small subunit ribosomal RNA", at positions 790 to 1167 of the family's 1533-position model. The record is from RNAcentral.